UACGGAGGGUGCAAGCGUUAUCCGGAUUCACUGGGUUUAAAGGGUGCGUAGGCGGGUAAGUAAGUCCGUGGUGAAAUCUCUGAGCUUAACUCAGAAACUGCCGUGGAUACUAUUUGCCUUGAAUAUUGUGGAGGUGAGCGGAAUAUGUCAUGUAGCGGUGAAAUGCUUAGAUAUGACAUAGAACACCAAUUGCGAAGGCAGCUCACUACACAAUCAUUGACGCUGAGGCACGAAAGCGUGGGGAU
RNAcentral lists this ribosomal RNA (245 nucleotides) under uncultured Flavihumibacter sp. RNAcentral describes it as "partial 16S ribosomal RNA". It matches the Rfam family "Bacterial small subunit ribosomal RNA", at positions 524 to 768 of the family's 1533-position model. Lineage: Bacteria; Pseudomonadati; Bacteroidota; Chitinophagia; Chitinophagales; Chitinophagaceae. The record is from RNAcentral.